AAUUGUACAUACGGGAACUUGAAGUAAUUGAGACAAUGCAGUCCGCAUUUGACAAUCUUCCCUGGUGGGAAAAAUGGCGGCUCUUUCGGUGGAAUCGUGCGAUUGAAAGCAAAACAAAAAAGUCAAGCAGAAGUUUGACAUCUGACUAGCUGACGAGACUGGAACAGAAGUAGAUGAUGUUUUUGCUGACAUUAUUGACCAAAAGCCUGACUUUCUUUGGAUGAUAGUUGAUGCUGUGGCUGUAGCACGUAUGAAAAGAUCUGUCAUCUUCAAAUGAGACAGAUACACCAUCACUUCAUUCAGUUGCAUCAUCGUCGGACACACAGCCAUCAGACAGCGAUGGUCCUUUCUUCCCACCUAAAAGAGCUCGUUCUAAUGACCAUUUGCAAGAAGCUAAGGAGCUUGUGAAAAGUGUUUUAGAAAAGCCUGCUGGGGAGAAGAUAUUUCAGAACACUGCCACACCAGUCAAGGAGACUGGGACAGUGUUAUGUAUUCCCAGUUAUUGCUGGUCUAUCUCCUGCCACCACCUUCUAGCGGAAAUAAGUUUGUCAAGAUCAGUGUGCGUGAAGCUUUGGAUCGCGUAGUAAGAUUUCACAAGUCCUCUUGCAGUUUUGAAGAAGUCCUUGGAUCAACACAGACAACACAGCCCUACAUCUUGACAGUUGGCACUUUGAAGAGUAGCAUCCAUUACUACUACAUUGCUGUGGAUGAGCGGCUCACCCCCUGCAUGACUUAGUCCUCUCUCUCAGCCUUUGAAGUUCUCAAUGUAUUGAUAUUUUAAUAUUUCUGAAAACUAUGCAGUGAAUAUCAUGCAUGACAUGCUAGAGGGAGUAGCACAGUUAGAGAUGAAGUUGCUUUUUGAUUAUCAAAGUUGUGUCCUUACAGUCUGCGAGCAACAGAAUUUACUCAUUUAACUAUGGUUAUUUUGAACGUAAAAACUGACCUACCGUGGUUAAGUUUGAAGAAGCUGGGAAUGGGAUGGGUCUCAAUGCCAUCCAGACAUUUGCCUCAUUAGAAAUCUGCUUCUACUGCAGAUAAUAAAUAGUGUUUUCUCCAGUCAUCUCGAAUGGAAUGACUGUUCAUCUGAAACAUUUGAUCUGUGAACACCACACGCUGUUCAAAGAACUCUAUCCAAGAAAUCUUAUUCCCAAGCUUCACUUCAUGAUCCACUAUCCCCGAUGCAUCAGUAAGAUAGGCCCGCUUGUUCAUGUUUGGGGGAUGCACUAUGAGGCAAAACAUUGCAAUUUUAUUUUAUUUUAUUUUUUUAAGUGUAAAAAAUUUCCAAAACAUUACCAAGUCAUUAGCACUUAAACAGUAGUAAUAUGAAAUUGCACUAAUGACUGAAAUUCAAAUUUAAAUGAUUUGUUCUUUUAAUGCUGUCACACUGUUUUUUAUGCAUGCUGUAUUAAUUGUGUUUGUAAACAAAACAUGAAUUGAAUAUCUUUGUGGUCUGUU
Molecule: long non-coding RNA, 1455 nt
Organism: Cyprinus carpio (common carp)
Lineage: Eukaryota; Metazoa; Chordata; Actinopteri; Cypriniformes; Cyprinidae
Exons: 6
Source: RefSeq, a predicted model, not a curated record